This 172-nucleotide unclassified non-coding RNA is filed under the name air metagenome. RNAcentral describes it as "partial contains small subunit ribosomal RNA, internal transcribed spacer 1, and 5.8S ribosomal RNA". The stretch from base 1 to 46 matches the Rfam family "Eukaryotic small subunit ribosomal RNA", at positions 1786 to 1831 of the family's 1831-position model. The record is from RNAcentral.
AAGUCAUAACAAGGUUUCCGUAGGUGAACCUGCGGAAGGAUCAUUAGAGAUGCCGAAAGGCUUUCCAAACACCUGUGCACUCGGCGGACCCGCUCCGUCUACACAAACAUAUGUCAUGAACGUAAUAUAUCAUAAUCAAAAACAACUUUCAACAACGGAUCUCUUGGCUCUC